Molecule: ribosomal RNA, 254 nt
Filed under: uncultured bacterium
Lineage: Bacteria
Description: partial 16S ribosomal RNA
Rfam family: Bacterial small subunit ribosomal RNA
Source: RNAcentral
CACGUAGGGUGCGAGCGUUGUCCGGAAUUAUUGGGCGUAAAGAGCUCGUAGGCGGUGUGUCGCGUCGGCCGUGAAAACCUGCAGCUUAACUGUGGGCUUGCGGUCGAUACGGGCAUCACUGGAGUUCGGCAGGGGAGACUGGAAUUCUCGGUGUAGCGGUGAAAUGCGUAGAUAUCGAGAGGAACACCUGCGGCGAAGGCGGGUUGCUGGGCUGAUACUGACGCUGAGGCGCGAAAGCCAGGGGAGCGAACGGG